This 836-nucleotide long non-coding RNA is filed under the name Triticum aestivum (bread wheat). Its description in RNAcentral is "long non-coding RNA (TAES_LNC026509)". Lineage: Eukaryota; Viridiplantae; Streptophyta; Magnoliopsida; Poales; Poaceae. The record is from RNAcentral.
UUUCAGCACUUGAAGGAGUCAUUUGGAGUUUCUGUAGUAGGAAUAGCCGUGCAAAGUGAACUACGAAGUUGAAGAUCAAGGUAUGAGCUUUGCAAUACAUUUAUUUAUUUAUGCAUGCAGGGUGGUAAUUAGUUCGUCCUUUAGCUCGUUAUUAGCUAUGUGACGGUAGUGCUUAGAGGUUAGAAAUAAUUUCAGACGAGAGAUGUAGCAUUUAAACUAUUUUUUGAAAUAGUAGGUUGAAGAUGUUGCAUCAAUGUUAGGUGCGUCCAUUAGUAUUGACAUGCGGGAAAUCUUAAUACGGUAAUUAAGAAAAAAUUGUACUGUAAUUGUUUAUUGCAUGUGGUAUGUUAUUUCAUGUGGUAUGUUAUUUUAUGUGGUAUGUUUAUUAAUAAGUCUAUAGUUAGGAAACCGUAGGUCUACUUUGUUAUAUCACAAUAAUCUAAAUUUUAUAUGUUAAGAUUAGGUGCUAAUGUACUUAAUGAUGUAUGUAAUUAGGUAAAAUAAUUCAUCUUAGUAGCAAACAAGGAGGAGAAGACGUGAUUGAAGAAAUUGUGUUUCCAUUUUCGCUGUCCCAUUUUGAGGUGAUGAACACAUACAUGGAAGUGCUAUUUUCAUACUUUUGUUAGCAGGAAGAAAAAUCCGUGUGUAAUAUUGUUGUUAAUGUGAUAAUAGGUUGACGAGGUUCAUAUAGUACUGGCGACGGAUAUUUAUUGAAACUAUUUUGACGCUUAAUUGCAUUCGCAAGCACAUCCAUAUUGGAGCUAAGGUGAAAAAUGACACUGUAAUUUUGUUAAUAUUUUUUGUAUUGAUGUACUAUUGUGAAUAAUGUGCAUGCU